Molecule: ribosomal RNA, 373 nt
Filed under: Phaeocystis cordata
Lineage: Eukaryota; Haptophyta; Phaeocystales; Phaeocystaceae
Description: SSU rRNA
Rfam family: Bacterial small subunit ribosomal RNA
Source: RNAcentral
GAUGCAAGCGUUAUCCGGAAUCAUUGGGCGUAAAGCGCCUGUAGGUUGUUUAAUAAGUCUGUUGUUAAAGACUAGGGCUCAACCCUAGGAAAGCAAUGGAAACUACUAGACUUGAGUAUGAUAGGGGUAGAGGGAAUUUCUAGUGUAGCGGUGAAAUGCGUAGAUAUUAGGAAGAACACCGGUGGCGAAGGCGCUCUACUGGAUCAUUACUGACACUCAGAGGCGAAAGCUAGGGUAGCAAAAGGGAUUAGAUACCCCUGUAGUCCUAGCCGUAAACGAUGGAUACUAGAUGUUGCGUUUAUUAUGCAGUAUCGUAGCUAACGCGUUAAGUAUCCCGCCUGGGGAGUACGCUCGCAAGAAUGAAACUCAAAGG